RNAcentral lists this ribosomal RNA (2067 nucleotides) under human gut metagenome. RNAcentral describes it as "bacterial LSU rRNA". It matches the Rfam family "Bacterial large subunit ribosomal RNA", at positions 830 to 2925 of the family's 2925-position model. The record is from RNAcentral.
CAAUCGAACCCGGAGAUAGCUGGUUCUCCCCGAAAUAGCUUUAGGGCUAGCGUCGGAAUGAACCUUAGUGAAGGUAGAGCACUGAAUGUGUGAUGGCCCCAUCCCGGGGUACUGAAUACAAUCAAACUGCGAAUGUCAUUAAGGAUGUCCGGCAGUCAGACUGUGAGUGAUAAGGUCCAUGGUCAAGAGGGAAACAGCCCAGACCGCCAGUUAAGGUCCCAAAAUACAGGCUAAGUGGAAAAGGAUGUGGGGAUGCCCAGACAACUAGGAGGUUGGCUCAGAAGCAGCCAUCCUUUAAAGAGUGCGUAACAGCUCACUAGUCGAGUGACCCUGCGCCGAAAAUGUACCGGGGCUAAGCCAGGUACCGAAGCUGCGGAUAUUCCUAGAAUAUGGUAGGGGAGCGUUGCAUGUGGGGUGAAGCCGUAUCGUGAGGAGCGGUGGACAGCAUGGAAGUGAGAAUGCCGGUGUGAGUAGCGAGAUGUAGGUGAGAAUCCUACACACCGAAAGCCCAAGGAUUCCAGGGGAAGGUUCGUCCGCCCUGGGUAAGUCGGGACCUAACGCGAGGCCGAGAGGCGUAGUGGAUGGAAAACAGGCAGAUAUUCCUGUACCCGUAUAUGGAGCGAAGGAGGAACGGAGAAGGCUAGCAUGACCCUCUUAAUGGAUUGAGGGCGAAGCGAGAUAACUGGUGACCAGGCAAAUCCGGUCACUGCAAGGUGAAGACGUAACAGGUAAGUGAAAGAGCGAUCGAGUAGCGAAGCAUGUGAUGCCAGCUUCCAAGAAAAGCUUCUAGCAAUGCAUAUACGGCCCGUACCAAAACCGACACAGGUGGGCAGGGAGAGUAUCCCGAGGUGAGCGAGAGAACUGUUGCCAAGGAACUCGGCAAAAUGGCUCCGUAAGUUAGCAAGAAGGAGCGCUCGAAAGAGCCGCAGUGAAAAGGCCCAAGCGACUGUUUAACUAAAACAUAGCUCUCUGCGAAGCCGCAAGGCGAAGUAUAGGGGGUGACACCUGCCCGGUGCUGGAAGGUUAAGAGGAUCUGUGAAUCGCAAGAGGAAGCAGUGAGUUGAAGCCCCAGUGAACGGCGGCCGUAACUAUAACGGUCCUAAGGUAGCGAAAUUCCUUGUCAGGUAAGUUCUGACCCGCACGAAAGGUGUAACGAUUUGGGCGCUGUCUCGGCAGCAGACUCGGUGAAAUCUUAGUACCUGUGAAAAUGCAGGUUACCCGCAACUAGACGGAAAGACCCCAUGGAGCUUUACUGUAGCUUGAUAUUGAACUUUGGUCGUACCUGUACAGGAUAGGUGGGAGACAUAGAGACGUGCACGCCAGUGUACGAGGAGUCGACGUUGGGAUACCACUCUUGUGCGAUCGGAGUUCUAACCCAGGUCCAUGAAACUGGAUCGGGGACCGUGUCAGGCAGGCAGUUUGACUGGGGCGGUCGCCUCCCAAAGAGUAACGGAGGCGCCCAAAGGUACGCUCAGAUUGGAUGGAAACCAAUCAUUGAGUGCAAUUGCAGAAGCGUGCUUGACUGUGAGACAAACAAGUCGAACAGGGACGAAAGUCGGGAAUAGUGAUCCGGCGGUGCCGAAUGGAAGGGCCGUCGCUCAACGGAUAAAAGCUACCCUGGGGAUAACAGGCUGAUCUCCCCCAAGAGUUCACAUCGACGGGGAGGUUUGGCACCUCGAUGUCGGCUCAUCGCAUCCUGGAGCGGAAGUACGUUCCAAGGGUUGGGCUGUUCGCCCAUUAAAGCGGUACGCGAGCUGGGUUCAGAACGUCGUGAGACAGUUCGGUCCCUAUCUGUUGUGGGCGUUGGAGAUUUGAGGAGAGCUGUCCUUAGUACGAGAGGACCGGGAUGGACCUACCACUGGUGCACCAGUUGUUCUGCCAAGAGCAUAGCUGGGUAGCUAAGUAGGGAAAGGAUAAGCGCUGAAAGCAUCUAAGCACGAAACCUACUCCAAGAUGAGAUCUCCCAACAAGUAAGACCCCUUAAAGACGAUAAGGUAGAUAGGCCAGAGAUGGAAGUGUAGAGAUACAUGGAGUUGACUGGUACUAAUCGGUCGAGGACUUAAUCAA